Molecule: non-coding RNA, 73 nt
Organism: Macaca fascicularis (crab-eating macaque)
Lineage: Eukaryota; Metazoa; Chordata; Mammalia; Primates; Cercopithecidae
Source: Ensembl
UGGAUCAAAGCCAAUCGGUUAGGGUGUUUAGCUGUUAACUAAGUUUUUGUGGGUUCGAAUCCCAUUGAUCUAG